GUCUCCUGAAGGAACGUUGAAGACGACGACGUUGAUAGGCCGGGUGUGUAAGCGCAACGAUGCGUUGAGCUAACCGGUACUAAUGAACCGUGAGGCUUAACCUUACAACGCCGAAG
This 116-nucleotide ribosomal RNA is filed under the name Klebsiella pneumoniae subsp. pneumoniae. RNAcentral's name for it is "partial 23S ribosomal RNA". The stretch from base 1 to 104 matches the Rfam family "Bacterial large subunit ribosomal RNA", at positions 2822 to 2925 of the family's 2925-position model. Lineage: Bacteria; Pseudomonadati; Pseudomonadota; Gammaproteobacteria; Enterobacterales; Enterobacteriaceae. The record is from RNAcentral.